Molecule: long non-coding RNA, 1245 nt
Organism: Peromyscus eremicus (cactus mouse)
Lineage: Eukaryota; Metazoa; Chordata; Mammalia; Rodentia; Cricetidae
Exons: 2
Source: RefSeq, a predicted model, not a curated record
CCCCGCUCCCGCCGCGCAAGUUGCCGGUCUUAACCCCCCCCACCUCGCCCCGCCGCCCCUACAAGUACCGGGCUAGCCUCGCUCGCCAGCUCUCUGGCCCCACAACUGGCCCUCCGGAUCGGGCUCUACCGGAGACAAUACCCAGACUCUCUGCUCUCCCCACAACUACCUGCCCACCCCUCUAACAAUCACCAAGCUAUCUCUGGCGGCAACUACUAGGCGCUCCAGCGCCACCGUCACAAACUCCCCCACCGCGGCCAACUACCGGGCCCCUCACUCAAUCCUCGUCCGGCUCUCCCAACUACUCUCCGGCAAUCAGAUUCCCCCCAGCCUCUCGGCUACGGAGCGCCAGGCACCCCGAGGCCUUUCCAGCCCCUAGCCCCCGGAGCUGGGUUUCCAGCGCCUAUCCCCGGACACCCCACCACCGCCAUCCACACCGCGCCUGAUGUCUAACUCUCCCGACCCAGGCUCCCACUCCUCUUUCUCCAAGGGAACCGCCCCACUUCCGGCCAGGAGGAGACAUGGAUGCUGGGAGAUGAAGUUCUCCUACUGAUAAUGGCACCCUUCUCCCACUAUUUGCCCUCUCUCAAAUUCCACUUUACAAGAUCCCAUACACUGGCACAAACUCUGCAAGUGACAGCCAGUUAGACAGUUCUUUUACCACCUCCCAAACAGGAACUUCUCUUCUUUAAUACAAAGUAACAAAUUUGGAUCUGCUUACCUAAAAGUGGUACUUUCAAACUUUGUCCACAGCAACCCACAGUAAAAACUACCACCCCUUUGUUUACAUCGAAACCCAAUAUAUACACAUAUAAAAUCAAAGUUUCAUGAGAUAAUGGUCACAUUAUUCCACUCAUUUAAAAAAUACCUUUUUCCAAAGAGGGAAAUAGUAACAUCAACACAGUGUUUCUGUUUCUCUGACCUAUCCCCAUUCCCUCUUUCCCACCAUAGACGUUCAUGACACUUGAGACAGACAGGAGGUGGAAUGACACAGGGCAAUUCAAUUCAGCUCGGUGGUUUCUUCUUUAUUGAUGUGCCUCCUACCUCCCCCGACAAUGUCAAUCCCUUCCAUCUACCCCCCCAAAAAGAAGGUAGUGAAAGGAAGGGAUUGGUGGGGUUCUGAGCCUGCUGGGCAGUUAGAAAGGGAAUAGAAACCAAAACAAUCAACGGAUGUGACAGAGAUUGACAAUCAAGAAGUCUAAAGCAGAGUGGGAAUGGAGGGCAGACAAGGGAGGAGAGAGGAGA